GACGAACGCUGGCGGCGUGCUUAACACAUGCAAGUCGAACGAAGAGCGAUGGAAGCUUGCUUCUAUCAAUCUUAGUGGCGAACGGGUGAGUAACGCGUAAUCAACCUGCCCUUCAGAGGGGGACAACAGUUGGAAACGACUGCUAAUACCGCAUACGAUCUAAUCUCGGCAUCGAGGAUAGAUGAAAGGUGGCCUCUACAUGUAAGCUAUCACUGAAGGAGGGGAUUGCGUCUGAUUAGCUAGUUGGAGGGGUAACGGCCCACCAAGGCGAUGAUCAGUAGCCGGUCUGAGAGGAUGAACGGCCACAUUGGGACUGAGACACGGCCCAGACUCCUACGGGAGGCAGCAGUGGGGAAUCUUCCGCAAUGGACGAAAGUCUGACGGAGCAACGCCGCGUGAGCGAUGACGGCCUUCGGCUUGUAAAGCUCUGUUAAUCGGGACGAAAGGCCUUCUUGCGAAUAGUGAGAAGGAUUGACGGUACCGGAAUAGAAAGCCACGGCUAACUACGUG
This 510-nucleotide ribosomal RNA is filed under the name uncultured bacterium. RNAcentral's name for it is "partial 16S ribosomal RNA". It matches the Rfam family "Bacterial small subunit ribosomal RNA", at positions 28 to 507 of the family's 1533-position model. The record is from RNAcentral.